This 27-nucleotide non-coding RNA is filed under the name Bombyx mori (domestic silkworm). Lineage: Eukaryota; Metazoa; Arthropoda; Insecta; Lepidoptera; Bombycidae. The record is from RNAcentral.
UGCCAGGAUGACGGAGUCUCCCAUGCC